This 477-nucleotide ribosomal RNA is filed under the name uncultured bacterium. RNAcentral's name for it is "partial 16S ribosomal RNA". It matches the Rfam family "Bacterial small subunit ribosomal RNA", at positions 28 to 506 of the family's 1533-position model. The record is from RNAcentral.
GACGAACGCUGGCGGCGUGCUUAACACAUGCAAGUCGAACGUGAUUUUUGUGGAAAUUCUUUCGGGAAUGGAAAUGAAAUGAAAGUGGCGAACGGGUGAGUAACACGUGAGCAACCUACCUUACACAGGGGGAUAGCCGUUGGAAACGACGAUUAAUACCGCAUGAGACCACAGAAUCGCAUGAUAUAGGGGUCAAAGAUUUAUCGGUGUAAGAAGGGCUCGCGUCUGAUUAGCUAGUUGGAAGGGUAAAGGCCUACCAAGGCGACGAUCAGUAGCCGGUCUGAGAGGAUGAACGGCCACAUUGGAACUGAGACACGGUCCAAACUCCUACGGGAGGCAGCAGUGGGGAAUAUUGCACAAUGGGGGGAACCCUGAUGCAGCGACGCCGCGGGAGCGAAGAAGGUUUUCGAAUCGUAAAGCUCUGUCCUAGGAGAAGAUAAUGACGGUAUCAUAGGAGGAAGCCCCGGCUAAAUACGU